This 343-nucleotide long non-coding RNA is filed under the name Anser brachyrhynchus (Pink-footed goose). RNAcentral's name for it is "lncRNA (ENSABRG00000014085.1)". The record is from RNAcentral. Lineage: Eukaryota; Metazoa; Chordata; Aves; Anseriformes; Anatidae.
UAAUCCUCCAUUAUGAUGAUGUGCUGGUGUUUUUCUUUCCAGCAGCCUCAGUCGUUCCCCAGCUGCUCAUGAUUGGUGAUAUCCUCUACUGAUGACACUUAGCACAUAGGAAUAAGCUGUAGAGCUCUUGUGGUCUGCACCAGAUAGCAGCCUGUCCAGCAGAAGCUUUUAACAACAUUUUCUUGAAGUUAUGGAAUUCAAUAAAGUUUCUGAAGACUUACCUUUCUGAAAAUGUAAGGGUAAGCCUACACUGAAACACAGAGUAGCUGGCAAGCUGAAAACACAUUGCUGACCACAGAAGGAAAGAGAUGAAUAAACAAUGUAUACAAGUGUUAGUAAAUCA